Molecule: ribosomal RNA, 1508 nt
Filed under: Bacillus vallismortis
Lineage: Bacteria; Bacillati; Bacillota; Bacilli; Caryophanales; Bacillaceae
Also listed under: 1 other name
Description: bacterial SSU rRNA
Rfam family: Bacterial small subunit ribosomal RNA
Source: RNAcentral
AGUUUGAUCAUGGCUCAGGACGAACGCUGGCGGCGUGCCUAAUACAUGCAAGUCGAGCGGACAGAAGGGAGCUUGCUCCCGGAUGUUAGCGGCGGACGGGUGAGUAACACGUGGGUAACCUGCCUGUAAGACUGGGAUAACUCCGGGAAACCGGAGCUAAUACCGGAUAGUUCCUUGAACCGCAUGGUUCAAGGAUGAAAGACGGUUUCGGCUGUCACUUACAGAUGGACCCGCGGCGCAUUAGCUAGUUGGUGAGGUAACGGCUCACCAAGGCGACGAUGCGUAGCCGACCUGAGAGGGUGAUCGGCCACACUGGGGCUGAGACACGGCCCAGACUCCUACGGGAGGCAGCAGUAGGGAAUCUUCCGCAAUGGACGAAAGUCUGACGGAGCAACGCCGCGUGAGUGAUGAAGGUUUUCGGAUCGUAAAGCUCUGUUGUUAGGGAAGAACAAGUGCAAGAGUAACUGCUUGCACCUUGACGGUACCUAACCAGAAAGCCACGGCUAACUACGUGCCAGCAGCCGCGGUAAUACGUAGGUGGCAAGCGUUGUCCGGAAUUAUUGGGCGUAAAGGGCUCGCAGGCGGUUUCUUAAGUCUGAUGUGAAAGCCCCCGGCUCAACCGGGGAGGGUCAUUGGAAACUGGGAAACUUGAGUGCAGAAGAGGAGAGUGGAAUUCCACGUGUAGCGGUGAAAUGCGUAGAGAUGUGGAGGAACACCAGUGGCGAAGGCGACUCUCUGGUCUGUAACUGACGCUGAGGAGCGAAAGCGUGGGGAGCGAACAGGAUUAGAUACCCUGGUAGUCCACGCCGUAAACGAUGAGUGCUAAGUGUUAGGGGGUUUCCGCCCCUUAGUGCUGCAGCUAACGCAUUAAGCACUCCGCCUGGGGAGUACGGUCGCAAGACUGAAACUCAAAGGAAUUGACGGGGGCCCGCACAAGCGGUGGAGCAUGUGGUUUAAUUCGAAGCAACGCGAAGAACCUUACCAGGUCUUGACAUCCUCUGACAACCCUAGAGAUAGGGCUUUCCCUUCGGGGACAGAGUGACAGGUGGUGCAUGGUUGUCGUCAGCUCGUGUCGUGAGAUGUUGGGUUAAGUCCCGCAACGAGCGCAACCCUUGAUCUUAGUUGCCAGCAUUCAGUUGGGCACUCUAAGGUGACUGCCGGUGACAAACCGGAGGAAGGUGGGGAUGACGUCAAAUCAUCAUGCCCCUUAUGACCUGGGCUACACACGUGCUACAAUGGACAGAACAAAGGGCUGCGAGACCGCAAGGUUUAGCCAAUCCCACAAAUCUGUUCUCAGUUCGGAUCGCAGUCUGCAACUCGACUGCGUGAAGCUGGAAUCGCUAGUAAUCGCGGAUCAGCAUGCCGCGGUGAAUACGUUCCCGGGCCUUGUACACACCGCCCGUCACACCACGAGAGUUUGCAACACCCGAAGUCGGUGAGGUAACCUUUAUGGAGCCAGCCGCCGAAGGUGGGGCAGAUGAUUGGGGUGAAGUCGUAACAAGGUAACC